UCCCGAGUAGCGAAGUGGUUAACGCGCAUCCCUUCUAAGGAUGAGAUCGUGGGUUCGAUCCCCACCUUGGGCU
Irineochytrium annulatum is the source of this 73-nucleotide non-coding RNA. The record is from the annotation of a GenBank genome assembly. NCBI's taxonomy places the organism in Eukaryota, Fungi, Chytridiomycota, Chytridiomycetes, Chytridiales, Chytridiaceae.